This 466-nucleotide ribosomal RNA is filed under the name uncultured bacterium. Its description in RNAcentral is "partial 16S ribosomal RNA". It matches the Rfam family "Bacterial small subunit ribosomal RNA", at positions 28 to 507 of the family's 1533-position model. The record is from RNAcentral.
GACGAACGCUGGCGGCGUGCUUAACACAUGCAAGUCGAACGGAAAGGCCCAGCUUGCUGGGUACUCGAGUGGCGAACGGGUGAGUAACACGUGGGUGAUCUGCCCUUCACUCUGGGAUAAGCCUGGGAAACUGGGUCUAAUACCGGAUAUUACCGACUGUCGCAUGGUGGUUGGUGGAAAGCUUUUGCGGUGUGGGAUGGGCCCGCGGCCUAUCAGCUUGUUGGUGGGGUAAUGGCCUACCAAGGCGACGACGGGUAGCCGACCUGAGAGGGUGAUCGGCCACACUGGGACUGAGAGACGGCCCAGACUCCUACGGGAGGCAGCAGUGGGGAAUAUUGCACAAUGGGCGCAAGCCUGAUGAAGCGACGCCGCGUGAGGGAUGACGGCCUUCGGGUUGUAAACCUCUUUCACCAGGGACGAAGCGUGAGUGACGGUACCUGGAGAAGAAGCACCGGCCAACUACGUG